RNAcentral lists this ribosomal RNA (953 nucleotides) under Streptomyces olivaceus. RNAcentral describes it as "bacterial SSU rRNA". It matches the Rfam family "Bacterial small subunit ribosomal RNA", at positions 31 to 1000 of the family's 1533-position model. Lineage: Bacteria; Bacillati; Actinomycetota; Actinomycetes; Kitasatosporales; Streptomycetaceae. The record is from RNAcentral.
GAAUGGUCGGGCUGACCAGCCAUGCAAGUCGAACGAUGAACCACUUCGGUGGGGAUUAGUGGCGAACGGGUGAGUAACACGUGGGCAAUCUGCCCUGCACUCUGGGACAAGCCCUGGAAACGGGGUCUAAUACCGGAUAUUGACCUUCACGGGCAUCUGUGAGGUUCGAAAGCUCCGGCGGUGCAGGAUGAGCCCGCGGCCUAUCAGCUUGUUGGUGAGGUAAUGGCUCACCAAGGCGACGACGGGUAGCCGGCCUGAGAGGGCGACCGGCCACACUGGGACUGAGACACGGCCCAGACUCCUACGGGAGGCAGCAGUGGGGAAUAUUGCACAAUGGGCGAAAGCCUGAUGCAGCGACGCCGCGUGAGGGAUGACGGCCUUCGGGUUGUAAACCUCUUUCAGCAGGGAAGAAGCGAAAGUGACGGUACCUGCAGAAGAAGCGCCGGCUAACUACGUGCCAGCAGCCGCGGUAAUACGUAGGGCGCAAGCGUUGUCCGGAAUUAUUGGGCGUAAAGAGCUCGUAGGCGGCUUGUCACGUCGGUUGUGAAAGCCCGGGGCUUAACCCCGGGUCUGCAGUCGAUACGGGCAGGCUAGAGUUCGGUAGGGGAGAUCGGAAUUCCUGGUGUAGCGGUGAAAUGCGCAGAUAUCAGGAGGAACACCGGUGGCGAAGGCGGAUCUCUGGGCCGAUACUGACGCUGAGGAGCGAAAGCGUGGGGAGCGAACAGGAUUAGAUACCCUGGUAGUCCACGCCGUAAACGGUGGGCACUAGGUGUGGGCAACAUUCCACGUUGUCCGUGCCGCAGCUAACGCAUUAAGUGCCCCGCCUGGGGAGUACGGCCGCAAGGCUAAAACUCAAAGGAAUUUGACGGGGGCCCGCACAAGCGGCGGAGCAUGUGGCUUAAUUCGACGCAACGCGAAGAACCUUACCAAGGCUUGACAUACACCGGAAACGG